This 1016-nucleotide ribosomal RNA is filed under the name Parachristianella campbelli. RNAcentral describes it as "eukaryotic LSU rRNA". It matches the Rfam family "Eukaryotic large subunit ribosomal RNA", at positions 360 to 850 of the family's 3401-position model. The record is from RNAcentral. Lineage: Eukaryota; Metazoa; Platyhelminthes; Cestoda; Trypanorhyncha; Eutetrarhynchidae.
AAAGUUGAAAAGUACUCUGAAGAGAGAGUAAACAGUACGUGAAACCGUAUAGAGGUAAACGGGUGGCGUCAAGCUGCAAGCCCAGAGGAUUCAGUUGGUCGUUGUGUGUGUAUGCCUGUGUAUCUCAGUCGGUGGUAGAAGGGCAGUCCACUGGUGACGGUGGGUCCAGUCGCAAGGCUGUGAUGUGCGUUCCGCUCUGGUUGGCGGUGUGCGCUGCUCGACUAUUGGACUGGGCGACCAAUGCACUUCCUCUGAUAUGGUGAACACCACGACCGGUGGAACUGCCAGUCUGGUAUGGCCAAGUCGCGUCUAGUUUGGCACUCGUGUCGGCUGGGUGUGAUCACAGGCAAUUUGGUGGACGGUGGGUUCGCCCAUGUUAUCGGUCACUGGUUGUCAACGGGUGUGUUCGUCGGCGGUUGUAAUACACGGCGGAUGACCUGGUGGGCUAUGCUGGUAAGAAUAACUGUGCAGGGCACCGGAGUGAGCGGCCUCAAAUCUGAUCGGCAUGCACUUUACAAGUGUCAAAUGGGGGCGUCAUUGCGGCCUGUCGUGUGUCGGGUCUGAUCGUCGUGUUGCCUGCGCAAAGUGGGCCCGGCGGUGGCCUGGCUACGGUCGGUGUCGUUGGUGGCGUUUCUGUGUGUCGGUUGGUGUGGGUCUUACAGUCUGUGGUGUGGUGGUAGACGAGCUACCCGACCCGUCUUGAAACACGGACCAAGGAGUUUAACAUGCACGCGAGUCAUUGGGCCUUACGAAACCCAAAGGCGAAGUGAAAGUGAAGCUCGGACUUGUUCUCCGGGUGUGGUGAGAUCCUGCUGUUUCUCGCAUCUACCUUGUGUACUGUGUCAGCACUAGGUAAAGAGCGGUGGGCGCAUCACCGGCCCGUCCCAUGAUGUGGUCAUUGGUUGGUUGUGAUUGUGGCUUCGGCUGUGGUUGCGGCUCCAGUGCGUCAUCGGGGCGGAGCAUGAGCGUGCAUGUUGAGACCCGAAAGAUGGUGAACUAUGCUUGCGUAGGUUGAA